RNAcentral lists this ribosomal RNA (447 nucleotides) under uncultured bacterium. Its description in RNAcentral is "partial 16S ribosomal RNA". It matches the Rfam family "Bacterial small subunit ribosomal RNA", at positions 29 to 523 of the family's 1533-position model. The record is from RNAcentral.
AGCGAACGCUGGCGGCAGUCUUAACACAUGCAAGUCGAACGCCCCGCAAGGGGAGUGGCAGACGGGUGAGUAACACGUGGGAACGUACCCUUUGGUUCGGACGAACUCGGCGAAACUCAAGCUAAUACCGGAUCAACCCUUCUGGGGUAAGGUUUGCUGCCGAAGGAUCGUCCCGCGUCUGAUUAGCUAGUUGGUGAGGUAAUGGCUCACCAAGGCGACGAUCAGUAGCUGGUCUGAGAGGAUGACCAGCCACACUGGGACUGAGACACGGCCCAGACUGCUACGGGAGGCAGCAGUGGGUAAUAUUGGACAAUGGGGGCAACCCUGAUCCAGCCAUGCCGCGUGAGUGAUGAAGGCCUUAGGGUUGUAAAGCUCUUUUACCCGGGACGAUAAUGACUGUACCGGGAGAGUAAGCCCCGGCUAACUUCGUGCCAGCAGCCGCCGCCG